UUGUUAAUUGCUUUUUUCUCUUCUAGUUAUAUGGGGUUCGUGAUCAUAAUAUGAUGACAAUCCUAAUGCAUAAUAUUCUUUCGUAUUUUAUGCAGAGAGAGUGAAGGAUCAAGCACAUGCAUAAGAUAGAGCCUGCUGACAGAAGAUAGAGAGCAUAGCUGAACAU
This 166-nucleotide microRNA precursor is filed under the name Glycine max (soybean). RNAcentral describes it as "miR156r stem-loop (gma-MIR156r)". Its record names the gene gma-MIR156r. Lineage: Eukaryota; Viridiplantae; Streptophyta; Magnoliopsida; Fabales; Fabaceae. The record is from miRBase by way of RNAcentral.